This 929-nucleotide small RNA is filed under the name Pan troglodytes (chimpanzee). Its description in RNAcentral is "retained intron". Lineage: Eukaryota; Metazoa; Chordata; Mammalia; Primates; Hominidae. The record is from RNAcentral.
UCGCAGCUUUCCCGUCUGACUGCUCCCAAAUUCCCCAGGUAUGAGCAGAGUGAGUGGGGCUGGAAGGACCGAGAGAAACGGGAGGAAAUGACAGAUGACCGAGCCUGGUACCUCAUCGCGUGGGAAAACAGCUCCGUCCCUGUUGCCUUUUCUCACUUCCGGUUUGACGUGGAGUGUGGGGAUGAAGUCCUGUACUGGUAGGAGCCAUGGCUUGGGGGAGGUAGGGGAGAGAGACCCUGGUGAUGGUCCAGGCACUCCAGCCAGGUGACAAAGCCCCUGGACCUACCUAGGUCUAUGAGCUGCCAAGGACUGCAAGCUCCUCUGCCAGACCUUACAGCCUCUUCAUGUCCCAUCCUGCACGCUCACCUCUCUGCUUUCUUCACCUAGCUAUGAAGUGCAGUUGGAAAGCAAGGUGCGGCGGAAAGGCCUGGGGAAGUUCCUCAUACAGAUCCUGCAGCUCAUGGCCAACAGCACACAGAUGAAGAAGGUUAUGUUAACAGUAUUUAAACACAAUCAUGGUGCCUACCAGUUCUUCAGAGAAGCGUUGCAAUUUGAAAUUGAUGACUCUUCCCCCAGCAUGUCCGGUUGCUGUGGGGAGGAUUGCUCCUAUGAGAUCCUGAGCCGGAGGACCAAGUUUGGGGACAGCCAUCACUCCCACGCGGGUGGGCACUGUGGUGGCUGCUGCCACUGAACUCUCAGAGCCACUUUCAAGUCACAAUGCUCUCUCCUAAGGCCUUUCCUCUUUCCUGGUCUCACUGUUCACCGGGUGUCCUCAGAGCUGUGGCCUCCCCAGCCCUGCAUGUGCCAGGCUGCGCCCUGAGAGCACAGAACCUUGGGGAGAAGUGGUAUGAGCUGCUCCUCCUCUCCUAGGAGACCAGAGUGCUAGAAGGGAAUGAAAGGGAGAGGGAAGAGUAGGUGGGGCCGGGCAG